AUUGCAGGAAAUUGAAACCACAGAAACUAUGGAUAAAGGGAACUACUAUAUCUAUCUCUAGCUUCUUGUUAGCAACAAAUGAUGUUUUAUUAUUAUUACUUUAUUUUUAUCUUUUGGUACUGGGGAUUGAACUCAAGGGCGCUUAACCACUGAGUCACAUCCCCAACCCUUUUUAAUAUUUUAUUUAGAGACAGGGUCUCGCUGAAUUGCUUAGGGUCUCGCUAAGUUGCUGAGGCUGGCUUUGAACUCAUGAUCCGCCUGCCUCUACCUCUCGAGCUGCUGGGAUUAUAGGCAUGUGCCUCCGUGCCUGGCCAAUGUUAUUAUUUUUUGAAUAGCCUUUGAAGAACUUUUUGGUAAAAUCUUAUGUCUUCAUUUUUCUUGUUCUUUGUUAACAGCAAUUGUUACUAAUAAAGUGGGUAUAAGAGCAUACUGUAAUAGAAUUGCUACUUUUGCACUUUAGAGCAGUUAUUAAAAAAAUACAGGUUACUUGAACACAAGGCAGUACUGUCACAGUCUACCUGAUAAUUGAGGCCAUUACUACAUUGUUGGUGAAUGAUGAAUAUAGAGAAUCUGUGCACUAGAAGUAACUAGAGGUCAGAUGUUCUGGUGACAAGAGGGAAGGCCUAGUUCACCUGGUGUGGAAGCUUGUCUCUAACCCCUACUAAAACGUAUGGCCUCAAGGGAGUCAUUGAACCCUCUAUCUUCUUGUUUUGAAAACUAAGAAAGUGGUGGGAAAUCUUGGAAGGUGAUUUUGAGGAUAAAGAUAAGAUAUAGAAAAUAUUUGCCACAUUGUAAAUACUUGAUAAUAGUAGCUAUUAUUUCCCCCUCUCAACUUGUUUCAUUUUUUAUUCCUUUCUUUUUCAUUUCCCUUCCUCCUCUGUCUAUCCCUUAUUGCUUGCUAGUGGCCUAAUCUAAGGCAGGUGAUAUAUACCAAGGAGAUCUUGGUGAUGGCCCAGAGAGUUGACUGAAUGAUCCUGGCAUUACUUAUUAGGUAAAGCAUAAGAUCAAUAAAGCAAGUUGUUAGAAUCAGAAAGGGUGAAUCAUGAAGGAGUUAAAAUAAGGAAAAGGACAGAAGGCAAAACAAAUGAACAGAAGUGUGUCCCUGAGAGAGAGAAGGUGGCUACAUAUAGGGAGCGAGGUGAAGAGGCAGCACCUUCCCACAUUGGGAAACGCUAGCGACGUCAGCUCCAUACUCCUUGGAUAGCUGACACUUUCUAGAGUUCCUCGUCUCAGUGGGACAUGCCUAAUUGCAGAAAAGAUAAGAUUAAUGAGGGAACUGUUAGAAGAUUUUGCUCAUGUGGAAUAACAGAAUUCAAGUGGCUGAGGCGAGUUAGAAAAUGGUGGACUGAGUUUCUUCAUUGUUAGUGAACCUAUGAGUUAAUAGAGCUGGUGCGCGGAGAUGAGUUGACUUGCUGCAGUGGGCAGAUGGGUGCAGAGUCAUUAUGGUGUCUGAGCUGGUGAAUCACUUGGUGAAAGCAGUGUUAAGGACAUUAAUCACAUAGUAAUGUGUGGGACAAUUUGAAAGGACAAAAUGGAAGGCUAGAAGAUCAUUGAAGAGGCCGUUUUGGGAACCUAGGUGCAAGGAUGAAACGGAGAGGGGCAAAUCAAGAGAGAUGCCUGUGAUGGGCCCACCAGCAUCCAAGUGGGGAAGCAGGGAGAGGACUCUGGGAUGAGCCUGGAGGCUUGGUGACUCCCUCAGAAUACCUGGAAGAGGUGAGAUUCUCCUGCAUAGCUUGGGAGGGUGUUUGUACUGUCACUCUCCAAACCACACUGACAGCUCCCCUUGCCGUCCCUCAUGUGGCUGUAGAAUGGUUCCUGCAGCUUUUGGAAGGAUGGCUCAGCUGGUUUCAGAAGCCCAGCAUCCUUUGAGCCUAGGAUCUGCAUUUUCCCCUCUUUUGAUGCCCUUUGAACCCACUUUGGGUCCAUUCUUUAAGUCAUUACCUGAGUCAAUAUGUGCUACUCUAAUAAAAUGCCUCCAACUGAGUGGUUUAUAAAGAACAGCAAUUUAUUUCUCAAAAUUCUGGGGGCUGGAAAGUCCAAGAUCAGCUAGUUUGAUGUAUAAGAGUUGCUCUCUGUUUUCCAAGAUGGUGGCUUCUUCCUGUGUCCUCACAUGUUGAACGAAACCAAAGGGGCUAUGUGGAGGGCAGGCUGUGCUCUGCUCUGAGUCACUUCAUGAAGUGUGGAAAAGCAGUUUCAGGCUGUGCCUAAACCUGAAUUGCUCCAUGUUGUAAAGCAAUCGUUUUACAAAAGGUAGUUUGCCAUAAGCGUCUUCAUUUUCAGUGCCCAAGCAGAAUGACUGUGCACCUUGUUUGUACAAGUAAUGACACCAUCUGCCUGGCACAACCAUAAGGCACAAACUGACGAAUGAAUUAACCAUGCUAAUAAGAGUAACCACCUGUGGACUGAUGGAAUUAAUUGGAAGCACACGGAUGUGCAGGUGUAUCAAAUUCAUCUCAGAAAAACCAGACCACUGAAUGAUGCAGCCCACGCACCAGAGGCCGGUAAAAGGAAGGGCACUCUCAGACUGGACAUGGUGGCACCCUGACCCCAUCACCUGGUCACUGGUUUUGAGCUUUGCCCAGGAAAAUUGCCAUAGUGAUGAACUUCUGAUUUCCUGUCCCGUUGGGCUUCAGCAGAACAUGGUUCCUUCUGCCUGUGAUGACCCUGUAUGGCCCACUCCAAGCUGACAUCUCAAGCUGAUAUUCUAGAACUGCCAUCCAUCUGGACCUUGGCCUAGAAUAAGUUCUUGCAUGUUGAACAAGCUCUUGGUUGGUUCCUAAUCUUAUUUGAUCACCUACAGGGACCCUGCGUUAGAAUCUGCCCUCUGCCUUCCCUCUCAGUUCUGAAUCCCUGUGGCUGUCUUAACCCUUUUUUAGUCUUUCUGUGACACACACUUGAGUAUAAAACUAUUAGAAAUUAAGAUUGGAACUUGCAUUUGCCCAACUUUUGAUACCAGAUAACCCAUGAAUAUUCAGUAAACUGCCACUUAUGAAAAUGGGAGAGCACAUGAAUUUACUGUCAUUUGUUGAAUUCUGACAUUGUGGAAAGACACAGACAUGCUUGGUCUAUGUUAGUGACAGCAUGCUCCCAACAGGCUAAAUAAAUAAAUUUAAAUAAGAGGAUGGAAUCCCUCAAGCUCUUUUAUAAGGACACCUAAUCCUCUGCAUGAGGAUUGCUCAGUCACCUCCCAGAGGCCACCUGCUUAAUACUGUUGCAUUGGGGAUUAAGUCUCAACUUGAACUUGAAAGCAGACUGACUCCAUUAUUCAAACCAUCUUGGGCGCAAUGGUGGUGUGAUUAGCAAUUCCGGAGGAUGAGGCAGGAGCAUGGCAAGU
This 3334-nucleotide long non-coding RNA is filed under the name Marmota monax (woodchuck). The record is from RNAcentral. Lineage: Eukaryota; Metazoa; Chordata; Mammalia; Rodentia; Sciuridae.